This 466-nucleotide ribosomal RNA is filed under the name uncultured bacterium. RNAcentral describes it as "partial 16S ribosomal RNA". It matches the Rfam family "Bacterial small subunit ribosomal RNA", at positions 28 to 507 of the family's 1533-position model. The record is from RNAcentral.
GAUGAACGCUGGCGGCGUGCUUAACACAUGCAAGUCGAACGAUGAAGCCCAGCUUGCUGGGUGGAUUAGUGGCGAACGGGUGAGUAACACGUGAGUAACCUGCCCUUAACUCUGGGAUAAGCCUGGGAAACUGGGUCUAAUACCGGAUAGGAGCGCCUACCGCAUGGUGGGUGUUGGAAAGAUUUAUCGGUUUUGGAUGGACUCGCGGCCUAUCAGCUUGUUGGUGAGGUAAUGGCUCACCAAGGCGACGACGGGUAGCCGGCCUGAGAGGGUGACCGGCCACACUGGGACUGAGACACGGCCCAGACUCCUACGGGAGGCUGCAGUGGGGAAUAUUGCACAAUGGGCGAAAGCCUGAUGCAGCGACGCCGCGUGAGGGAUGACGGCCUUCGGGUUGUAAACCUCUUUCAGUAGGGGAGAAGCGAAAGUGACGGUACCUGCAGAAGAAGCACCGGCUAACUACGUG